RNAcentral lists this non-coding RNA (30 nucleotides) under Rattus norvegicus (Norway rat). The record is from RNAcentral. Lineage: Eukaryota; Metazoa; Chordata; Mammalia; Rodentia; Muridae.
GAGAAGGUACCCCAAAACGGGCUUGUUCUC